GCUAGCGGCAGGCUUAAUACAUGCAAGUCGUGGGGCAGCGCAGUGUAGCAAUACAUGGGCGGCGACCGGCAAACGGGUGCGGAACACGUACGCAACCUUCCUUUAAGUGGGGGAUAGCCCAGGGAAACUCGGAUUAAUACCCCUUAACAUUAUGGUGUGGCAUCACAUUAUAAUUAAAGCUACGGCGCUUAAAGAUGGGCGUGCGGCUGAUUAGGUAGUUGGCGGGGUAAAGGCCCACCAAGCCUACGAUCAGUAACUGGUGUGAGAGCACGACCAGUCACACGGGCACUGGGACACGGGCCCGACUCCUACGGGAGGCAGCAGUAAGGAAUAUUGGUCAAUGGACGCAAGUCUGAACCAGCCAUGCCGCGUGGAGGAUGAAGGCCCUCUGGGUUGUAAACUUCUUUUAUUUGGGAAGAAACCCAUCUUUUCUAAGGUGGUUGACGGUACCAGAUGAAUAAGCACCGGCUAACUCCGUGCCAGCAGCCGCGGUAAUACGGA
RNAcentral lists this ribosomal RNA (501 nucleotides) under uncultured soil bacterium. RNAcentral describes it as "bacterial SSU rRNA". It matches the Rfam family "Bacterial small subunit ribosomal RNA", at positions 35 to 529 of the family's 1533-position model. The record is from RNAcentral.